Long non-coding RNA from Papio anubis (olive baboon), 2349 nucleotides. The record is from Ensembl. Lineage: Eukaryota; Metazoa; Chordata; Mammalia; Primates; Cercopithecidae.
UUCCAAUCUUUUAAAUAAAUAUGAUUAGCAAAGGGAGUAUCACACAUUGACCUGGAUGCAGUAGCAGGAAGAAUAUCCUCAGGUUCUUCAGCUCUCUUUACACAAAUAGGCAUUAUCCCAAAAUGAGUAAUGCUAGGAAAUAUGUAAAUAAGUUCCAAUUUACAGUUGGUUGUUCUUCCCUUUCACUCCAAUUUUUUUUGUAUUUAUCAAUAACUCAGGUAUUUUAUUUUUAAGAACAUAGGCAAAUACCUCUAACCUUUCUCAGGCCAUUCAAGAUUAAGCAAGGUUUGGGGUUCAAAUGGUCUGGGUGACCACUUAACUCAUGUGACCUUUUUGCUAUUAAUGUUUUCCAGAAAAACAACAACAGAAUCAUUAUGACUACUAAGAAUACAUUUUAAAAAAUUAACAUGACAUCUUGGAUCUUAUAAGAGUCAAGCUCUUCAGGAAAUAAACCAUGAGAGACUUUGUUCAUCCCUGCUUUAAGCUAUGGAUAGCAACCUGCACGGAUAAAAAGUGUGAAAAGAAUAAAGAACUUAAAAAAAAAAUAACCUGCAGAUUAUGGAGCAAUAUAUUUUUGUUGACUACAGAUCCGCAAAGAUUUUCAGCUGAGCUGGAAAGCCUAUUGAGCUUGAAAUGGCUAUCCUUACAGCAGAGUAGAUUUUUUUUGUGAUGGUUAGUAGCAUGUAUUCUGAAUAGUGAAGAAUGACAUGUAGAAUUCAACUUGUGAUUCAUUGAAAGAAUUUCUUAUGUAUUCAUUAAAAUAAAAACAAAACCCAACCUCUGAAAAAACGUAUUUUCAUAUGCAAAUCAUUCAAUUGUAUUCACUUUUUUGGGCAGGCAGUCAAAAUAAUUUUGCGUCUGUGUUUUCAUUUUUGAUGUUCAUGGAUUUAUCAUGCAGACAUUUACAUUUGACUUUGUCCUUUACAAAUACAUUUUGAAUAAAAUGCUUAUGUGAAAAGGAUUGAAAAUGGAAUCUACCAAGAAUAUUUCUUUACUUGAGCUUUCUACCCAUAUUCCCCCACAUUUUUUGUUCAGUUGCAGUAAGUACCAUUUGCUCUUGAAAAUUAAUUUGCUAAUCUUAGAUGCCAACAAGUCAAUUUCUCAAAUGUUUCAUGUUUAAUUUGUCCUAAAGCUACCCAUUCCUGAUAAAAUCUGAGCUUUAAAAGAUUGAGUGGGUAUAUGGUCUGAAAUAGUGAGCAAAUUAAUACAGCAUUUGCUUCUGGGGUCUUUUAUGGAAAAUGAUGCUUAGUAGGCUGCUAGACCAAAUGGAAUGAUGUGUUAAUCAGUUUCUUCCAAGUCUACUUCUUUGCUAUCCAUAUUAGGACUGAAGUACCAUUUAAACUUUGGGAGGAGUUACAACCAGUUUCCUGCAUAUAUGGUAACCAUAUUUUCUGAACCAAAGAUUGGGAUGUUUGUAUACCCUGAAGAUGUUUUGGCACAUAGUCUGAUACUGGGUCAGAAUACUUAAAACCAUGUAUGCAAUGGGAAAUGCCCUACAUACUUUUCUUAAACCACAUUUUUCUUAAGUUGACCUAACGACCGAAAUAUUCUGGGAAUGCAUUUGCUUCUCUAUAAUAAAUUAGCUGAGAUGCCCCUUUUCAUUCAUUUGUUGGAUGAACAGAGUGACUUUUAUUUCAUUUAAAUAAGCAUCAUUCUAUUGCCUAGCAUGAUUAAUGUAAAAUGCAGAAACUAUUGAGUGGUAUAAUUAAUAUAAUUAAAGUAAUGCUGGUAGAUCCUUUUCUUUUGGAUCGUUUUCUUUUAGAUCGUUACUGUUCUAAAAAGUGCAACUAUAAUGCAAAGAGUUCACCAUCGUGGUAUGAUGGAGCCUGUGGGCAGAAGGCCAGCUAGUCUUCCACAAGAGAGAUAAUUAAGAGACAAUGGUACAGAAAUGCAUGUUGUAGCGUGCACGAAUGCUCCUGUGUGUUGACCUUACAGCUCCAAGCAACUCAGAGAAUGGCUUGGUUUUCAAAAUGACAAUUCCUCCCAGAUUCUAGAGGGAGGGGUGGAUACGAUUAUUCAGGUUUGCGCAAUUUCAAAAAGGUAAAACACCUCGUUUGGGGAACAGUGCCCUCUCCUUGGAGACCUGCUGGGAGACUAAAAUUUCAGGUGCGUCAAAAAUGCAGGACACAGAGAGGAAUUUGAAACACUUCCAGAAGGAAGCAAUUUCUAUUUUUCUGCAACACUUUUCAAUAACAGAAAGGCAAAGAGUGAGUGGAGAGAAAGGAAAUGGGAGAUCCCCUAACUGGAAGCUGUACAGUUCACCUAGAAGAUAGGCUGGGCUUAUUCUUCCCGUGGGAAGGAACCUCUUUGCAGUAAGCAUCUCAGUCAGUAAAGACUUUUUAUCCAAAG